AAUUUCAGCUAAAAAAGUCAUGAACAUAAAAGUUGUAGAGCUCAUCAAGACAUACAACUUUUAUUUUGGUCAUUUCUUCAUCCGAUAAAGUGAUAGUAACAUUGUUCACAAAGUUUACAUAUCUCUCUUAUAGUUUAUAGAACUAGAUGAGACAAAUGUAAAUUUUGUAAACAAUGUUACUAUCACUUCGUCGGAUGAAGAAACGACCAAAAUAAAAGUUAUAGAUCUUGAUGAGUUAUACAACUUCGUUGUUGAUGAAUUUUUCAAUUGAAAUC
This is a non-coding RNA of Oryza barthii, 275 nucleotides long. The record is from Rfam. Lineage: Eukaryota; Viridiplantae; Streptophyta; Magnoliopsida; Poales; Poaceae.